UACGAAGGGGGCGAGCGUUAUUCGGAAUCACUGGGCGUAAAGCGUGCGUAGGCUGUUUGGCAAGUUGGAAGUGAAAGCCCGGGGCUCAACCCCGGAAUUGCUUUCAAAACUGCCAGACUCGAAUCUCGGAGAGGAUAGCGGAAUUUCCAGUGUAGUAGUGAAAUACGUAGAUAUUGGAAGGAACACCAGUGGCGUAAGCGGCUAUCUGGACGAGUAUUGACGCUGAGGCACGAAAGCGUGGGGAUCAAACAGG
Molecule: ribosomal RNA, 253 nt
Filed under: uncultured bacterium
Lineage: Bacteria
Description: partial 16S ribosomal RNA
Rfam family: Bacterial small subunit ribosomal RNA
Source: RNAcentral